CCUACGGGAGGCUGCAGUGGGGAAUAUUGGACAAUGGUGGGAACCCUGAUCCAGCCAUGCCGCGUGUGUGAAGAAGGCCCUCGGGUUGUAAAGCACUUUCAGUGAGGAAGAACGCCUGGUGGUUAAUACCCAUCAGGAAAGACAUCACUCACAGAAGAAGCACCGGCUAACUCCGUGCCAGCAGCCGCGGUAAUACGGAGGGUGCGAGCGUUAAUCGGAAUUACUGGGCGUAAAGCGCGCGUAGGUGGCUUGAUAAGCCGGUUGUGAAAGCCCCGGGCUCAACCUGGGAACGGCAUCCGGAACUGUCAAGCUAGAGUGCAGGAGAGGAAGGUAGAAUUCCCGGUGUAGCGGUGAAAUGCGUAGAGAUCGGGAGGAAUACCAGUGGCGAAGGCGGCCUUCUGGACUGACACUGACACUGAGGUGCGAAAGCGUGGGUAGCAAACAGGAUUAGAUACCCCGGUAGUC
RNAcentral lists this ribosomal RNA (465 nucleotides) under Vreelandella stevensii. RNAcentral's name for it is "partial 16S ribosomal RNA". It matches the Rfam family "Bacterial small subunit ribosomal RNA", at positions 338 to 795 of the family's 1533-position model. The record is from RNAcentral. Lineage: Bacteria; Pseudomonadati; Pseudomonadota; Gammaproteobacteria; Oceanospirillales; Halomonadaceae.